Molecule: ribosomal RNA, 465 nt
Filed under: uncultured bacterium
Lineage: Bacteria
Description: bacterial SSU rRNA
Rfam family: Bacterial small subunit ribosomal RNA
Source: RNAcentral
UCGAGAAUCUUCGGCAAUGGGCGAAAGCCUGACCGAGCAAUGCCGCGUGCGGGAUGAAGGCCCUCGGGUUGUAAACCGCUGUCGUAGGGGAGAAAGGUCUCAUGAAGAAUGAGAUUUGAUCUAUCCUAGGAGGAAGUCCGGGCUAAGUUCGUGCCAGCAGCCGCGGUAACACGAACCGGACAAACGUUAUUCGGAAUUAUUGGGCUUAAAGGGUGCGUAGGCGGUGCGGUAAGUGAGGUGUGAAAGCCCUCGGCUCAACCGAGGAAUUGCGCUUCAUACUGCCGUGCUGGAGGGAGACAGAGGUAAGCGGAACUGAUGGUGGAGCGGUGAAAUGCGUUGAUAUCAUCAGGAACACCGGUGGCGAAAGCGGCUUACUGGGUCUCUUCUGACGCUGAGGCACGAAAGCUAGGGUAGCGAACGGGAUUAGAUACCCCAGUAGUCCCUGAGCGGGCUGGCAAGGCGCAU